RNAcentral lists this ribosomal RNA (794 nucleotides) under Penicillium sp. 14 BRO-2013. Its description in RNAcentral is "eukaryotic LSU rRNA". The stretch from base 275 to 428 matches the Rfam family "5.8S ribosomal RNA". The record is from RNAcentral. Lineage: Eukaryota; Fungi; Ascomycota; Eurotiomycetes; Eurotiales; Aspergillaceae.
ACGACCCCCCAGAGCCGGAAAGUUGGUCAAACUCGGUCAUUUAGAGGAAGUAAAAGUCGUAACAAGGUUUCCGUAGGUGAACCUGCGGAAGGAUCAUUACUGAGUGAGGGCCCCUCGGGGUCCAACCUCCCACCCGUGUUUAACGUACCUUGUUGCUUCGGCGGGCCCGCCUCACGGCCGCCGGGGGGCAUCCGCCCCCGGGCCCGCGCCCGCCGAAGCCACCUGUGAACGCUGUCUGAAGUAUGCAGUCUGAGACAAUUAUUAAAUUAAUUAAAACUUUCAACAACGGAUCUCUUGGUUCCGGCAUCGAUGAAGAACGCAGCGAAAUGCGAUAACUAAUGUGAAUUGCAGAAUUCAGUGAAUCAUCGAGUCUUUGAACGCACAUUGCGCCCUCUGGUAUUCCGGAGGGCAUGCCUGUCCGAGCGUCAUUGCUGCCCUCCAGCCCGGCUGGUGUGUUGGGCCCCGCCCCCCUUCCCGGGGGGGCGGGCCCGAAAGGCAGCGGCGGCACCGCGUCCGGUCCUCGAGCGUAUGGGGCUUUGUCACCCGCUCUUGCAGGCCCGGCCGGCGCCAGCCGACCCCCUCAAUCUAUUUUUUCAGGUUGACCUCGGAUCAGGUAGGGAUACCCGCUGAACUUAAGCAUAUCAAUAAGCGGAGGAAAAGAAACCAACCGGGAUUGCCCUAGUAACGGCGAGUGAAGCGGCAAGAGCUCAAAUUUGAAAGCUGGCUCCUUCGGGGUCCGCAUUGUAAUUUGCAGAGGAUGCUUCGGGAGCGGUCCCCAUCUAAGUGCCCUGGAA